Molecule: ribosomal RNA, 315 nt
Filed under: uncultured eukaryote
Lineage: Eukaryota
Description: partial 18S ribosomal RNA
Rfam family: Eukaryotic small subunit ribosomal RNA
Source: RNAcentral
CCCUUAGACGUUCUGGGCCGCACGCGCACUACACUGACCAGUGCAACAAGCAUCCGUCCUUGGCCGACAGGCUCGGGCAAUCUUUGAACGCUGGUCGUGAUGGGGAUAGACUUUUGCAAUUUUUGGUCUUCAACGAGGAAUUCCUAGUAAACGCAAGUCAUCAACUUGCAUUGAUUACGUCCCUGCCCUUUGUACACACCGCCCGUCGCACCUACCGAUUGAAUGGUCCGGUGAAGCCUCCGGAUUGGCGCGCACCCCGGUGCCGCCGAGAAGUUGGCUAAACCUUACCAUUUAGAGGAAGGUGAAGUCGUAACA